Molecule: ribosomal RNA, 552 nt
Filed under: uncultured archaeon
Lineage: Archaea
Description: bacterial SSU rRNA
Rfam family: Archaeal small subunit ribosomal RNA
Source: RNAcentral
UGAGACAUGAAUCCAGGCCCUACGGGGCGCAGCAGGCGCGAAAACUUUACAAUGCGGGAAACCGUGAUAAGGGGACACCGAGUGCCAGCAUCAUAUGUUGGCUGUCCAGAUGUGUAAAAUACAUCUGUUAGCAAGGGCCGGGCAAGACCGGUGCCAGCCGCCGCGGUAACACCGGCGGCCCGAGUGGUGAUCGUGAUUAUUGGGUCUAAAGGGUCCGUAGCCGGUUUGGUCAGUCCUCCGGGAAAUCUGACGGCUCAACCGUUAGGCUUUCGGUGGAUACUGCCAGACUUGGAACCGGGAGAGGUAAGAGGUACUACAGGGGUAGGAGUGAAAUCUUGUAAUCCCUGUGAGACCACCUGUGGCGAAGGCGUCUUACCAGAACGGGUUCGACGGUGAGGGACGAAAGCUGGGGGCACGAACCGGAUUAGAUACCCGGGUAGUCCCAGCCGUAAACGAUGCUCGCUAGGUGUCAGGCAUGGCGCGACCGUGUCUGGUGCCGCAGGGAAGCCGUGAAGCGAGCCACCUGGGAAGUACGGCCGCAAGGCUGAAACU